This 472-nucleotide ribosomal RNA is filed under the name uncultured bacterium. RNAcentral's name for it is "SSU rRNA". It matches the Rfam family "Bacterial small subunit ribosomal RNA", at positions 26 to 518 of the family's 1533-position model. The record is from RNAcentral.
AGAGCGAACGCUGGCGGCAGGCCUAAUACAUGCAAGUCGAACGGAUCCUUCGGGAUUAGUGGCGGACGGGUGAGUAACACGUGGGAACGCGCCCUUCGGUUCGGAAUAACUCAGGGAAACUUGAGCUAAUACCGAAUACGCCCUUACGGGAAAGAUUUAUUGCCGAAGGAACGGCCCGCGUCCGAUUAGCUAGUUGGUGAGGUAAUGGCUCACCAAGGCUACGAUGGGUAGCUGGUCUGAGAGGACGAUCAGCCACACUGGGACUGAGACACGGCCCCAGACUCCUACGGGAGGCAGCAGUGGGGAAUCUUGCGCAAUGCGCGAAAGCGUGACGCAGCAACGCCGCGUGGGGGAAGAAGGCUUUCGGGUUGUAAACCCCGUUUCAGUUGGGACGAAGCUUCGCCGGUGAUAGCCGGCUGGAGUGACGGUACCUUCGAGAAGAAGCCCCGGCUAACUACGUGCCAGCAGCCGC